UGCGUAGGUGGCGAGGUAAGUCGGAUGUGAAAUCUCGGAGCUCAACUCCGAAAUGGCAUUGGAAACUACCUUGCUCGAGGGUUGGAGGGGGGACUGGAAUGCUUGGUGUAGCAGUGAAAUGCGUAGAUAUCAAGCGGAACACCAGUGGCGAAGGCGAGUCCCUGGACAACUCCUGACACUGAGGCACGAAAGCUAGGGGAGCAAACA
Molecule: ribosomal RNA, 207 nt
Filed under: uncultured bacterium
Lineage: Bacteria
Description: partial 16S ribosomal RNA
Rfam family: Bacterial small subunit ribosomal RNA
Source: RNAcentral